This 265-nucleotide unclassified non-coding RNA is filed under the name Fusarium solani. RNAcentral's name for it is "sequence contains 5.8S rRNA gene". The record is from RNAcentral. Lineage: Eukaryota; Fungi; Ascomycota; Sordariomycetes; Hypocreales; Nectriaceae.
GAACGCACAUUGCGCCCGCCCGUAUUCUGGCGGGCAUGCCUGUUCGAGCGUCAUUACAACCCUCAGGCCCCCGGGCCUGGCGUUGGGGAUCGGCGGAGCCCCCCGUGGGCACACGCCGUCCCCCAAAUACAGUGGCGGCCCCGCCGCAGCUUCCAUUGCGUAGUAGCUAACACCUCGCAACUGGAGAGCGGCGCGGCCACGCCGUAAAACACCCAACUUCUGAAUGUUGACCUCGAAUCAGGUAGGAAUACCCGCUGAACUUAAG